UACGGAGGGAGCGAGCGUUGUCCGAAUUUACUGGGCGUAAAGCGCGCGUAGGCGGGAAAUUAAGUGAGAAGUGAAAGGCUGGGGCUCAACCCCAUGCAGUGCUCCUCAUACUGGUUUUCUUGAGGGUGGUAGAGAGAAGUGGAAUGGCUGGUGUAGCGGUGAAAUGCGUAGAUAUCAGUCGGAACACCAGUGGCGAAGGCGGCUUCUUGGGCCAUUACUGACGCUGAGGCGCGAAAGCCAGGGGAGCGAACGGG
This 254-nucleotide ribosomal RNA is filed under the name uncultured bacterium. RNAcentral's name for it is "partial 16S ribosomal RNA". It matches the Rfam family "Bacterial small subunit ribosomal RNA", at positions 524 to 776 of the family's 1533-position model. The record is from RNAcentral.